RNAcentral lists this ribosomal RNA (350 nucleotides) under uncultured bacterium. RNAcentral's name for it is "bacterial SSU rRNA". It matches the Rfam family "Bacterial small subunit ribosomal RNA", at positions 917 to 1267 of the family's 1533-position model. The record is from RNAcentral.
GGGCCCGCACAAGCGGUGGAGUAUGUGGUUUAAUUCGAUGCAACGCGAAGAACCUUACCAGGGUUUGACAUCCUGCGAAUCUCUUGGAAACAGGAGAGUGCCUUCGGGAGCGCAGUGACAGGUGGUGCAUGGCUGUCGUCAGCUCGUGUCGUGAGAUGUUGGGUUAAGUCCUAUAACGAGCGCAACCCCUGUCGUUAGUUACCAGCAAUUAAAGUUGGGUACUCUAGCGAGACUGCCGGUGCAAACCGUGAGGAAGGUGGGGAUGACGUCAAAUCAUCACGGCCCUUACGUCCUGGCUACACACGUGCUACAAUGGCCGGUACAGAGAGCAGCCACUACGCGAGUAGGAG